RNAcentral lists this ribosomal RNA (459 nucleotides) under uncultured bacterium. RNAcentral's name for it is "partial 16S ribosomal RNA". It matches the Rfam family "Bacterial small subunit ribosomal RNA", at positions 338 to 795 of the family's 1533-position model. The record is from RNAcentral.
CCUACGGGUGGCAGCAGUGAGGAAUAUUGGUCAAUGGACGAGAGUCUGAACCAGCCACGUAGCGUGAAGGAUGACUGCCCUAUGGGUUGUAAACUUCUUUUAUAUGGGAAUACAACAGGGUAUGCAUACCCUCUUGUAUGUACCAUAUGAAUAAGGCACGGCUAACUCCGUGCCAUCCGCCGCGGUAAUACGGAGGGUCCGAGGGUUAUCCGGAUUUAUGGGGUUUAAAGGGAGGUGAGGUGGAUGGUUAAGUCAGUUGUGAAAGUUUGCGGCUACACCGUAAAAUUGCAGUUGAAACUGGCAGUCUGGAGUACAGUAGGGGUGGGCGGAAUGCGGGGUGUAGCGGUGAAAUGGUUAGAUAUCACGAAGAACUCCGAUUGCGAAGGCAGCUCACGGGACUGCAACGGACACUGAUGCUCGAAAGUGUGGGUAUCAAACAGGAUUAGAUACCCAGUAGUC